GACGAACGCUGGCGGCGUGCUUAACACAUGCAAGUCGAACGGAAAGGCCUGCUUUCCCUUGUGGAUUGCGGGUACUCGAGUGGCGAACGGGUGAGUAACACGUGAGUGAUCUGCCCCCAACUUGGGUAUAAGCCUGGGAGACUGGGUCUAAUUCCCGAUAGGACUGCAGGGUGGUGCCUGUGGUGGAAAACGAUUUUCUAGUGGUUGGGGAUGAGCUCGCGGCCUAUCAGCUUGUUGGUGGGGUAAUGGCCUACCAAGGCGGCGACGGGUAGCCGGCCUGAGAGGGUGGACGGCCACAUUGGGACUGAGAUACGGCCCAGACUCCUACGGGAGGCAGCAGUGGGGAAUAUUGCACAAUGGGCGGAAGCCUGAUGCAGCGACGCCGCGUGGGGGAUGACGGCCUUCGGGUUGUAAACUCCUUUCGACCGCGAGGAAGCCACCUGGUUGGAAGGGUGGUGACGGUAGUGGUAGAAGAAGCACCGGCUAACUACGUG
Molecule: ribosomal RNA, 494 nt
Filed under: uncultured bacterium
Lineage: Bacteria
Description: partial 16S ribosomal RNA
Rfam family: Bacterial small subunit ribosomal RNA
Source: RNAcentral